GAGAAAAGAGAAGAAAGGAGCCACGGAGCCAUCAAUCACUCAGUUUGCACCCCUGGGUACUGCAAACUCUACUCUGCCCCUGUGCUCAGUGAGAGCUAUCAGGCUCUGCUCUACCUAAGGAAAGAAGGCCUUGAGUCCCUAGGUGCUUGGACUGCUGUGCUAUGGAUGGUGAAGGGGAGCCAGCUUGCUUCUCUGACCUGGAUGAUUGACGUGCCUCCAUUCUGAGAAGCAGACAGUUUGCACAUGGGCAGUAUGAAGGAGGAGGCGGUGAUCAUUGGAAGAGUCCUUGCCAGGAAUGAGGGAAGCAAGUCCUUGUUGCAGAUUCCUGAGCAAGAGCCCUCAGAACACAAUAGCUACAGCUCAAGCACCGUGGCCUCCCUCAACUGAUGGGAAAAAUGGUGGGGAUAACCAAGCCAGAAAUCCCUGGCUCCUGAAGAAAGAAUGCAAGUACUUGCAGACAGGGCUCCAUGGUGUAGUCCCUCAGAAGGCCCUUUUGGCCUAAGCCCACAGGGCUUCCUUAUUCUGGAUACAACCUGGUUGAUAGGAGACUGCGUUGGGUACUUCAUUCUCACCUUUCUUCAAAUCUCAUGUGUGAUGAAGAACACUGGCAGUGUGUGUCUCCAUUACCAACCCUUAGCCCUUUUGAUAUAAGGCGGUUUGUAUGGAAACUAUUCUGAGAUAGUGUCUCAAAGUCCUCUCAUCUCUCAGCUUGGGUGUUUGGUGGUGUUUUUAUGAUGCUGCUAGAGAUGUUGCAUUGGGCCCUUCCUAAUUUGGUUUCAGAAUCAUGUGGCCCUCCCCAAACCAGGGUUUGUGCAGGUACACAAGGAGAAUGCUUGCAGGUAGGCUAAGCCAGAAGUUGGGGUUUGAUCACACCUCCUGUGUGCGACAUGGGGAGGUAAAGUUGUCGGUCUCCCUCCUUGGUGUCCCCCAUCCAGUCUGAGUACACAACUUUGACUCACCCCAUUGCCAUUCCUCUCCCAUUUCUGCUUUCCCAACUCAAUCUCAGUGUAUACAUGGAGACCAUGUGUCUGUGUCCUACAACAACCAAGGUCCCUGGUAUGGAGGUGAGUUUCCACGGCUUUCCUGAGCCAAUGCAGUGCUCCCAGAGUCUGAUAUCCCAGAGGACAGCUAGCCCCCUGUCUUUGAGGACUUGGCACUGGGCCGGCUACAGUAGCCACAUGGACUCCCCCACCCUAAUGGAUUCAGCUACUCUCAUUCAUCAAAACAGAUGGUCUUUGCAUGUUCAGCAUGCUCCACGAACUGAUCAGUGCACACAAAGCCUUUUGAAUACACACUGCACCAAGGCCUCGUUCCCACCUCUUAAUCGUCACAUGGAAGCACCUCCUUCAUAACUCUGAAACUCUGUUGCCCCUUGUGACGGAUACAAUGGGCAAAGCAUACCAGAAGCCAAAGAUCCCCUCUGUUUCUUAAGGGAGAAGGCGAGCCUUUUGUUCACAGGCCUCCAAUGAGCAUCCUUUGAAGCAGUCCGGUAGCGAAUGCCCACAAAAGGCUCUUGUGAGUCCUGAGCAAGCCAGCUUCUGAAUAAUUGUGCCAGUCAGGUUCUUCCAAACAUGAAGAACUCUGGCCCUCAUUGUUUCCAGUUUCAUGACAUUGCUUUAUCAUCCAUCAGGGUUCGCCUUGGGGUCCAUACAAAUUCAGUCUUUCAGAGUACUAUCUCCAGCUUGCAGAUGUCCCAUAGGUACCAGCCCUUAUGACUGUGGGACAGGUGGCACUGAAGGAGCCCAGGCCUUUUGGUUUUAGGACUACAUGGACAUCCAGAGCCCUGGGCAUCAGAAGGGGUCCAGCCAAGGACUGUUUGUGGGGAGGACUGUUUGUGUGGAGGAUGGGUCAGAUGUAUUAGAGGGAGCUGGCCUCCUUGCUGGGCCUAGGGGAAGUGAAGAUAAGCAUGUCCAUUCCACACUGAUCGCUUUCCCAUUGAAUGGAAAUAUCGAGUGCCCUUUGGUCCUGGAUGAAGCCAUUUCUAU
Leopardus geoffroyi (Geoffroy's cat) is the source of this 1985-nucleotide long non-coding RNA. RefSeq lists it as uncharacterized. The transcript is spliced from 3 exons. NCBI's taxonomy places the organism in Eukaryota, Metazoa, Chordata, Mammalia, Carnivora, Felidae. The record is from RefSeq and is a predicted model, not a curated record.